UGAACACCAGAGCAAAAAAGAAAAGUGCAUGAAAAAUAAUAGUUUCGUUUUAUAUGAGCAUAAUAAAAACUUACUAGUAUUAUGAAAUAUAGGAGCAUCAUCGCUUAGAAAAAAAAAGAAUAGUACAAUCGUCCUAGUAUGUUAUUUCUAUCUCACCAAGAGACUAUGUAUAUUAGAGACCACAACGCCUGUAUGUAUGUAGGAUGACCUAUUUCAGUCUUUAAUGAACCUUUCUCUACAAGUGUAUCGAACGAAAAAAGGAGAAUUUCAAAGAGAACUUCACAUAAAAAACUUUAAAGAUGAAUAUAUGAAUUAAAUAUUCCUAUAAUUUUUAUAUUUUUUUUUCUUCAAUUUUCUAUCAUUUUAUACUAUGUACUAUGUACCAUAUAAUUAGCAAGUGAUAAACUUUUUACCGUAAAAAAAUAUUAAUCUAGAAUAAUUAGAAAUUUUUACACCAAAAAAAUAAUACUGAAAAUAAAAUUCCUAUGAUCUAUUAAAAUCCCUACAAUCUUAUUCCCUAGAGUAAUACAAUUCCCCACUCCUUCGUUAAAACUGUGUCACGUGGUAUCCAUUAGUUCCGAUCGCGACGCGUCGAUCACUUGGCGUCCUGUGUUCAUGGCGAAGCCUGAAAGAAGUCUUAGGAGGAAGCCGUUGCAAGCCACCCUAAAGAAGAAGUAUAACUUCUACGAACAAUAGCCGGUCGUUAUCUUGACCGGCGCUUCGCCGCACGCAUUGUACUCGCGCUGUAUCCUUUCCGUGAACACGAUCGCCUCAACAAUGCACUGCCAUUGACUCUCUUUCACUGAAUCGUUGGAUCAGAAUGUGCAAGAAAGAAGAAGCAGAUAGAAAGUUUCUGAGUUAAACAAUUAUUAUUACAUUUGAAAAUUUAAUAAUCACAUUCCAAAACAAAAAUAACAAUAAAAAUAUUAACAAUCUCGAUUUGCCAUCUAUCACGUGUCGAAGUACUUAGUUAACCUUUUGGAAAAAUAUUCGCCCAAGAAGAGGAGUGUGGCCGUAAUAAAAAGCGGCGCAUAGAUGCAUCCCUGCACGGCAGUAAAGACGCCGGGCGAGAGACAUCCAACGAGGGAGCAGCAAACCGUUCGGGAUAUUUCGUUUCUGGCGGAAGCGUGUCGGUGUUAUCUCCGCCUCUGGCGUCAGUCGGAGCCCAGCCACGUUCGACUCGUGGCGACUUUCGUCUGAAUAAUUCCUGGUAUCUCAUUGACCCAUCUUGAGAAUGCACGUAGAAGAGGCGGGUUUCGAGCGACAGCUUUGUGGCGCCUUCGCGAUCAAAAAAAUUAAGAAACCAAGGAAGGUGGAUUAAGGAUCGCGCAAUAUAUUCGAGAUAAUUUUGCGUGCUGCGAAAUAUUUAAGAAUGGCUAUAAAAGUUGAUGGUUGUAUGAUCAUAGUUAAAUCUAAGAUUGUCUGAAAGUCGAUAUUGUGUUAGAUCAUUGAAUUUGUCUUUUUGAUGUUAGCCGUUGAUAAUAUCACGAAGUCAAUUGUUGAUAUUAAUUUUUCAUUGAAAAAAGAAAAAUUUUCAGAAAUUUUUCAUAUUUAAAUAUGUAGAUUUGAAAAAUGAUUAACAUUCGUUGCAUUUUAAGAAAGUAGAGAAUAUCGUUGUAUAUUUAGUUAUUGUACAUUGUGAAAUUAUCAAUCCCAAUAUAAUAUUUUCGGUAUUUUAAUAAUGAGAAAACAUAGAAUUUUAUUUCAAAUAUCAUUUUGUAAUUUUAAAGAUAUAUUUGAAAUAAUUAAAUAAUAUAAAUAAUCCAAGAUACUGAAUUUAUAUGACUAAAGAUAUUUUAUUUAUUUUUAUUUAUUAUUUAUUUAUUAUGUGUAGAGAAAAAUGCACUGUGCAUUUUAUGCACUGCAUAUAACUCUGAAAUAUAUAUUGCAGCAGUGAUUAAUCAGAAUUAUGAACGAUAUAUCCAGUUAGCGUAUUCUACUUUUGAAAAAGAUUACUAAAACAUAAAAAUGAGUACUUGAAAAUAAGGUCAAGCAGUACAUAUGAACUUUUAUUUUAUUGUUCCUGCAUUUAGAAUGCACUUGUUAUCUAGCUCAUAUGUAUUAUAAUAAAGCUAAAAAAUAUUUGCAUCAAAAUAUAAAUCAUGAUAAAUUACAUAUGUAUAUAAAUAUCAUAAUAACAAAGUACA
Molecule: unclassified non-coding RNA, 2147 nt
Filed under: Apis florea (little honeybee)
Lineage: Eukaryota; Metazoa; Arthropoda; Insecta; Hymenoptera; Apidae
Description: uncharacterized LOC116414390, transcript variant X3
Source: RNAcentral